RNAcentral lists this ribosomal RNA (443 nucleotides) under uncultured bacterium. RNAcentral's name for it is "partial 16S ribosomal RNA". It matches the Rfam family "Bacterial small subunit ribosomal RNA", at positions 355 to 787 of the family's 1533-position model. The record is from RNAcentral.
UGGGGAAUAUUGCACAAUGGGCGCAAGCCUGAUGCAGCCAUGCCGCGUGUGUGAAGAAGGCCUUCGGGUUGUAAAGCACUUUCAGCGAGGAGGAAGGGUUCAGUGUUAAUAGCACUGUUCAUUGACGUUACUUGCAGAAGAAGCACCGGCUAACUCCGUGCCAGCAGCCGCGGUAAUACGGAGGGUGCAAGCGUUAAUCGGAAUUACUGGGCGUAAAGCGCACGCAGGCGGUUUGUUAAGUCAGAUGUGAAAUCCCCGCGCUUAACGUGGGAACUGCAUUUGAAACUGGCAAGCUAGAGUCUUGUAGAGGGGGGUAGAAUUCCCAGGUGUAGCGGUGAAAUGCGUAGAGAUCUGGAGGAAUACCGGUGGCGAAGGCGGCCCCCCUGGACAAAGACUGACGCUCAGGUGCGAAAGCGUGGGGAGCAAAACAGGAUUAGAUACCC